AGCAGUAGGGAAUCUUCCACAAUGGGCGAAAGCCUGACGGAGCAAUGCCGCGUGAGUGAAGAAGGCCUUCGGGUCGUAAAACUCUGUUAUAAGAGAAGAACAAAUUGUAGAGUAACUGCUACAGUCUUGACGGUAUCUUAUCAGAAAGCCACGGCUAACUACGUGCCAGCAGCCGCGGUAAUACGUAGGUGGCAAGCGUUGUCCGGAUUUAUUGGGCGUAAAGGGAGCGCAGGUGGUUUCNUAAGUCUGANGGNAAAGCCCACGGCUUAACCGGGAGGGUCAU
This 283-nucleotide ribosomal RNA is filed under the name uncultured Aerococcus sp. Its description in RNAcentral is "partial 16S rRNA". It matches the Rfam family "Bacterial small subunit ribosomal RNA", at positions 350 to 626 of the family's 1533-position model. Lineage: Bacteria; Bacillati; Bacillota; Bacilli; Lactobacillales; Aerococcaceae. The record is from RNAcentral.